GCCUUUGACACGUGAUUGAACUUGGUAAGUUUUGUGUAAGUUUAGCCGGUGGUUCUGUUUUAUGUGAUGUUGACGUGUGAUUGUAAAACCUCUAUUUCGUGAGUAAUUUAACACCACUUUAAAAAAACACGGUCAAAACAAUUCUUUGUUAUGUUCUAGCCAUGAGUUUACCAAUCAAGUUUGGAAUACAUUCCAGCAAGAAAAUAACAAAAAAAAAGCCUUGAAAAAGUAAUCAGCAUCAUAUUUCCUUAUUUAGUUUAACAUAAAAAAAACAAAAUUUACAAUAAAUUUCAGCAGAAUAAUACCAAAAUUCAUCAUAAUUCACAACCAAAAUAGUGUUAAAAAAAUAGUAUACUCGAGUAAUGUUAAUUUUCACCACUUGAAGGUCAACUGAAACUAGUACUCCCUCCGUCUC
Molecule: long non-coding RNA, 415 nt
Filed under: Brachypodium distachyon (stiff brome)
Lineage: Eukaryota; Viridiplantae; Streptophyta; Magnoliopsida; Poales; Poaceae
Description: long non-coding RNA (BDIS_LNC001578)
Source: RNAcentral